RNAcentral lists this microRNA (22 nucleotides) under Rattus norvegicus (Norway rat). RNAcentral's name for it is "rno-miR-711". Its record names the gene rno-miR-711. The record is from miRBase by way of RNAcentral. Lineage: Eukaryota; Metazoa; Chordata; Mammalia; Rodentia; Muridae.
GGGACCCUGGGAGAGAUGUAAG